UUUGACUCAACGCGGGAAAUCUUACCAGGUCCGGACACACUGAGGAUUGACAGGAAGUAUCGUCUUUUGAAUUCUUUAAGGAUAUGUCGUUUUUAAUGACAUCUUUUAGAUGGAUGAUUCGUGUAAAUAUGCUAGUUCUUUCAUGAUUAUGUGAUAGGUGGUGCAUGGCCGUUCUUAGUUCGUGGAGUGAUCUGUCUGCUUAAUUGCGUUUCACUAAGGCCCCAAAGUUAGCAAAUUAUCAAUCGUUACAGAGUCGACCCCUCACCUUUGAGUGCGCGUCCUAACUUGUAGUACAUGGUGUAAAUGGAUUUGUUUUGGGUACCCAGAAAGCAACGAACGUGACCGCAACGUCUUGUUGUCUCUCUUUGACAGUUAUGGGUUAUCCCAGUCAUGUGUUUAUACUUUUAUGUGUAAAUACGUACGACACAGAGACUAGAUACCAAACUAGGCGUACCGCUGUAUCAUUUCUUUAAACCAGAGGAAGGUUGCGGCAAUAACAG
Molecule: ribosomal RNA, 500 nt
Filed under: Neogloboquadrina incompta
Lineage: Eukaryota; Foraminifera; Rotaliida; Globorotaliidae
Description: bacterial SSU rRNA
Rfam family: Eukaryotic small subunit ribosomal RNA
Source: RNAcentral